AGUGAACGCUGGCGGUAGGCCUAACACAUGCAAGUCGAACGGCAGCACAGUAAGAGCUUGCUCUUACGGGUGGCGAGUGGCGGACGGGUGAGGAAUACAUCGGAAUCUACUUUUUCGUGGGGGAUAACGUAGGUAAACUUACGCUAAUACCGCAUACGACCUACGGGUGAAAGCAGUGGAUCUUCGGACCUUGCGCGAUUGAAUGAGCCGAUGUCGGAGUUGCUAGUUGGGUGGGUAAUGGCCCACCAAGGCGACGAUCCGUAGCUGGUCUGAGAGGAGGAUCAGCCACACUGGAACUGAGACACGGUCCAGACUCCUACGGGAGGCAGCAGUGGGGAAUAUUGGACAAUGGGCGCAAGCCUGAUCCAGCCAGACCGCGUGGGUGAAGAAGGCCUUCGGGUUGUAAAGCCCUUUUGUUGGGAAAGAAAAGCAGCAGGUUAAUACCCCGCUGUUCUGACGGUACCCAAAGAAGAAGCACCGGCUAACUUCGUG
RNAcentral lists this ribosomal RNA (492 nucleotides) under uncultured bacterium. Its description in RNAcentral is "partial 16S ribosomal RNA". It matches the Rfam family "Bacterial small subunit ribosomal RNA", at positions 29 to 507 of the family's 1533-position model. The record is from RNAcentral.